UACGUAGGGUGCAAGCGUUGUCCGGAAUUAUUGGGCGUAAAGAGCUCGUAGGCGGUUUGUUGCGUCGGCUGUGAAAUCCCGAGGCUCAACCUCGGGUCUGCAGUCGAUACGAGCAAACUAGAGUGUUGCAGGGGAGACUGGAAUUCCUGGUGUAGCGGUGAAAUGCGCAGAUAUCAGGAGGAACACCGGUGGCGAAGGCGGGUCUCUGGGCAACAACUGACGCUGAGGAGCGAAAGCGUGGGUAGCAAACGGG
RNAcentral lists this ribosomal RNA (253 nucleotides) under uncultured bacterium. RNAcentral's name for it is "partial 16S ribosomal RNA". It matches the Rfam family "Bacterial small subunit ribosomal RNA", at positions 524 to 776 of the family's 1533-position model. The record is from RNAcentral.